Pelobates cultripes (western spadefoot toad) is the source of this 2138-nucleotide non-coding RNA. Lineage: Eukaryota; Metazoa; Chordata; Amphibia; Anura; Pelobatidae. The record is from the annotation of a GenBank genome assembly.
GUUUGAAGGGAUAUCAACCUUAACCUCAGAUUACUGUUAGGGCAUGGUUCAGGGCUCUAUAGGACUGUGCUGUAUGCCUACACAUUAUGUGGAAUAACUUAAGUUAUGGGAUGUUUAAAGGGAUACCUCCUAUUAACCUCAGAUUACUGUUAGAAUUAGUGCUCUCUAUCAGGAUGGUGACAUAUCCUGUACUGCUGUACACCUGGGGUUAACACCUGGCUAGAUUGUUGGAAAUCUGAUGUGCUCUAUCAGGGCCGUGUAUGGGUUCAUACACUAUACUGCUGAGGAAAGACAUACUGAAACAGCCUCUGUAAAAUAGGAUUUUCAACUCUUCCUGCUUGACCGAAUAUCUCCUUCGACAGUGAGCCAUUGUGGAGAACUGGUUUAGGUUCUACAGGUGAUACUCAAAAAAUUAGAAUACCGUGCAAAAGUUUAUUUCAGUAAUGCAGCGUAAAAGGGGAAACUAUUAUAUGAGAUAGACACAUUACAUGCAAAGCAAGAUAGUUCAAGCCGUGAUUUGUCUUAAGUGCAAUGAUUAUUGCUUACAGCUCAUGAAAACCCUGUAACGGACCGUUUCAGCACACAAGGGGUUAAAACCGUUUAGGCGAUCGUCCCCCCUUCCAGAGAUGCAGGCACAGCUACUGCAGAACACCAAACUCCCGAACAGGAUACCAAGUAGCACUCCAAAUUCCAGAACUGGAACCUCACGAAUAGCUGCUAGCAGCUGAACAGGAAAAGCAUCCAAGCGGUUUAUACUCCUGGCAAUGUCUCUAACAGCAUACAGUAAAUCCCCCCAAGAACGAGACAAAGCUCCGUGUUGAGGGUCAAGCAGUGAACAGGCAGAGCUGUGGGUUUAUUGUUCUUAUGUACACCUUCUUACACAUUAGUACCACCCACAGGGUUUUGGAACACAACCAAUAAACACAUACAAUACAUCAGACACUCCCACACAAAAUCCUCCCCUCUGCCUGUGAUACAGUUAACUUACACAAUGGAUAAUUUAAUUAGCACAAGCAGAGAAAUAAAAUUUUUCCACAUUAUUCAUAACUUGAAAAGUAUGCAUCACAUUCACAUAAUGUGACACAUAAAUUCACAUACUUACAUUUUCAGAAUCAGCAUACUCCAAAUACAAACAUACGUCAAAAUCAUACAAAUUGGUCCAGUGGUUCAAAAGAUAGAUCGUAGUCCUUUGUGACCAAAGGAAGCAUUCAGUAUCUCCUCCCUCUGCAUGCAGACACUGAACUUUCCUCAUUAUUGAUUCAAUUCAUCUCUAUGAGGAGAUGCUGAUUGGCCAGGGCUGUGUUUGAAUUGUGCUGGCUCUGCCCCUGAUCUACCUCUUUGUCAGUCUCAGCCAAUCCUAAGGGGAAGUAUUGUGAUUGGAUCAGGCUACCACUUCUGAUGAUUUCAGCAGAUUGCUUGAUUUUCUGAGUCAAGCAGCAUUCAGAGUUACAGCUUCCAAGGGGGCUAGAUGGUGGCUUUAACAUUAUAGGGUCAGGAAUACAUGUUUGUGUUCCUGACCGUAUAGUGAUCCUUGAAGCUUAUGCUAUCUUUAGUGUACUUAUAAUCUUAAUUUUACUAAUGACAGGAGGCAAGUAUUUUCCCUUCCGACCCUUUCUGUUCGUUUUCUUUGAAUGUAUCACAGGUCUAAGGUUAGGUUUGGCUUUCAUGUUUUGUGUUUACAUUGAUCUGGAAUUGCCAUUGGAGUUUUACAUUUUAGUUAUUCAGUUAUCAGAUUGUAAUUUACAAUUUACUGCUAUGGGAUGAUGUAUACGGUACGUGGAUUUCCGUGUUCAUGACUAUGUGUCUAAACCUGUCGCACAUUCUCUUUUCAGUAUGAUUCGUCACUGAAGACAUUUGGUUGUUCGUGUGAAAUUCUCUGUAAGUUUACUCCUUCAGAUUUUGAUUCGUCCCUGAAAACAUUUUGGCUGUUUGUGUGGACUUCACGAGAAGUUUGCUCCGUCGGAUGUUGGAUUUAGGAGUUAUUAUUGUUAUUAAUUGGUAUAUGUUUACUUCCGUUUGAUGUCGCUUUCUGAAAGAGGAAGUGAUGAGGUCACUAUGCUUUAUGUACAUCCUAUUCUCUUGUGAUUGGUUCUUUUUUUCUAUAUGUUUCUGUGCUGCUGUUUGGAGCUAGUAAAGAG